Molecule: RNA transcript, 8276 nt
Organism: Lethenteron reissneri (Far Eastern brook lamprey)
Lineage: Eukaryota; Metazoa; Chordata; Hyperoartia; Petromyzontiformes; Petromyzontidae
Gene name: protein lifeguard 4-like
Source: RefSeq, a predicted model, not a curated record
GUUUCGUUUCCCGUCAUAGCUUGCUUGGACCAUCUUCUUGGUUCUUUCGGUAAAGUCCGUCACGUAGAAGGGAAGUAAUAAAGUAAUACAAAUAAAACAUAGUAAAAAUAAUUCUCACGAUAUUUCGGCCACAACUUAAUUAGCUAAGCUAACGGCGUGUUAAUUAGCUAAGCUAACGGCGUGUUAAUUAGCUAAGCUACUGGGAUCAAUUAAAGCCGCUGUCUCUGCCGCUAAUUGAGAGGUCGGGCCGAGAAGCUUUAGGCGCUAAAAUAGGCCUCAACCGCGAGCCUUCGCUAACGAUUUGUUGAGGCGGCGGCGGCGAUGGCGGCGAUGGAGGUGGCGAUUGAGAUGAUGACCUCUGACAUGAAGAAUUACUUUGGCUACAGGACCAAUGUGGCGACCGCCCACGUCUCCAUCCGCAUGGGCUUCCUGCGCAAGGUCUACGCCAUCCUCUCGGUGCAGAUUCUGCUCACGGUGGCCGUGGCGGUUCUCAUUGAUCGGACCGACAUCGUCGAGGACUUCAUUCAGAAGAACUCGUGGGUGAUGCUCAUCUCCUGCGUGCUGUCCAUGGGGCUGCUGCUUGCCCUCUUCGACAAGCGUCGCGAUCACCCCACCAACCUCAUCCUCCUCUUCGCUUUCACUCUGGUGGAGGCGUUCACGCUGGGGGUUGUGGUGACGUUCUACGACCAGGUCGUGGUGUUCCAGGCGUGCGUCCUCACGGCCGCCGCCUUUGUGGGCCUCACCGUCUACACCCUGCAGACCAAGAGGGACUUUAGCUGCAUGGAGACCGGGCUGUUUGCUGGCCUCUGGAUAUUGAUCAUCGCUGGAUAUCUUGGGCUGUUCCUGCGUUAUCUGCUGGUGGAGCUGGCGCUGGCCGGUAGCGGUGCAUUGCUCUUCUGCGGCUUCGUGGUGUGGGACACCCAGCGGCUGCUGCAUAGCCUCUCCCCCGAGGACUACGUGGAGGGAGCCGUCUCCCUCUACCUCGACCUCAUCAACCUCUUCCUUGACAUCCUGCGCCUGCUGGAGGCCAUUCGGCGCAACUCGUGGGUGAUGCUCAUCUCCUGCGUGCUGUUUAUGGGGUCGCUGCUUGCCCUCUUAGCCAAGCGUCGCGAUGACCCCUCCAACCUCUUCCUCUUCUUCACUUUCACUCUGGUGCAGGCGUUCACACUGGGGGUUUUGGUGACGUUCUACGACCACGCCGUGGUGUUACCGGUGUGCGUCCUCAUGGACGCCGCCUUUGUGGGCCUCAUCAUCUUCACCCUGAAGACCAAGAGAAACCUCAGCCGCAUGGUGACCGGGUUCUAUGCUGGCCUCUGGAUAUUGAUCAUCGCUGGAUUUCUUGGGCUGUUCCUGCGCUAUCUGCUGGUGGCGCUGGCGGUGGCCGGUGCCAGUGCGCUGCGCUACUGUGGCUUCAUGGUGUAGGACGCCCAGCAGCUGCUGCAUCGCCUCUCCCCCGAGGAUUACGUGGAGGGCGCCUCUCACUUUUCCUGGACCUCAUCAACCUCUUCCUCUACAUCCUGCGCUGCUGGAGGCCGUGCGGCGCAAGUGCGCGUGUGACGAGCGGUGGCGACCAUCCCACGCCACCAGAACCGGACACGCACGCACACACACCCACACGCGGCCGCCCCCCCCACCCUCCCUACACCUGGCAGACAAAAACCAGCGCUAAAAGUAUUUGCCUUGCUGGCCAAGGUGGAGACUACGGCGGUGGCCCCCAGCGCCCGGGCAACGCCGGUUGUGGCCUCCCCACCCCAUCCCCCGACUUGAGCGGCGGCAACGUUGCUCUGACAUCGGCCCGACUUGCGAGUCUGCCGGUCGGGCCGGCGUAUGGCCCCAAAAUUUGCUCGAGCGUUGCUAGGCGCCCACCGCCCCGACAUCCGAAGUCGGCCUUCGUCUCCGAAGCGCCGACAGAUCUUCCCCGCCGACUCGAGACCUCUGCGUGGGCGCGCGUGGUGGUGGCGGCGGUGGUGGCGCUGGGGAAUCCGUGCGUGUGCCUGGUUCUUCUUCCACCCCUACUCUGGAAUGCUAUUGCCAAUAAACUGCAACUUGAAUCACUACCUAUGAGAUCUUCACUCAAAACUGCUCUAGAGGAGUUGUACACCCCUAGCUGUCACUGCUAUUCAGUGGCCUAGAUGACCGUUGCAAAGUAUUAGCUAUGUUUUGAUUUAGUGUGCUGAUCUUAAAGGUGCAUUGAAAAUUUUGAUACUCCGACUUAUGCUCCUGAUGUUGUGGAGUGACUCAUGCAGCCAGCUAUGGCUGCAGGGUUUGGUAAUACAUGUUAUUGUCGUUUAUUGUGAAAAUUCGGUCACAGUUCCUAUGAUCACUGUUACAUUGCUUUUAUGGCUUUAUUUUGGUGAUUUCGAAAAGUGUUUUGGUUUGGCCAUGUUUGUUUGUUGUAGUACGGAGUUAGAUUGAUGGCCUUAAUCUAAGUUGUCUUGUGGUUGUUGUUUUUUGACUUGCAUCCCACUGGGAAUUUUGCACACAGCGUUGGUGUACAGUGCUUUUUUUUCUGGAAUUUUUGCUGGUUUUUUUCCUGGAUUUUCAGUUUGCACAUAGUCACUUUAAGAUGUUUUCUUGUUCAUGUUUUUGUUUAUUUUUGUUGCGGUUGCACCCGAUUCAAGAGCCGAAUGGCUCACAGGGCUAUACCUAAUAAAUUAAACUUAAAAACCUUGAAACUUGACAACUAAACGGGGGCUCUGGAUGGGUGCAAGGGGCUGGAAACCCCUCCACUUUCAAUAAAUUACCGCUAAACCACGAAUUAAAUAUGUAACUAAUAAGCUUGUGCCGGAGGCCCCGGGGGGACAGGCGUCUAUGACGUCUCCUGGCCAAACCCCAAUUGGCGGAACCAGGAGAUUGAAUCUUUACCCUCGGGGCUCCUCCAGAAAUAACGAAAAGCCACUUCGUGUGGUCACGUGAAAUGUUCGAACGCUCACUGCGGAGGAGAGGCUGCCACUCCUCUGUCAGGAGCUGGACCGGUACUGCCUGGAUCUCUGUGGCAUUCAGGAGGUCUGGUGGACCAACUCUGGCUCCUGCCACCAUGAGGGGUGGACAGUCCUCUACUCGGGGCAGAAGACUACCAAACAACAGGGUGUGGCUCUUCUUCUGAACAAAAGAAUGAAGGGGGCGUGGGAGCGUGGCGGUGAGGUGUGGGAAGCUGUAAGCCCCAGGCUACUUUGGGCUCGCCUUCCCAUCAACCGGAGGCGAGCAGUGGUGGUCGUGGUUACUUAUGCCCCCACCAAAGACGAACAUUUGUGGAGGGAUGCAGGCAAAGUCGAUGAGUCAGAUGCCUUUUAUGACCUCUUGUCACAGGUGCUGGCUAAAGUAGCCCCUCGGGAUAGAGUCAUCUUGUUGGGUGACUUCAAUGCCCGAGUUGGUCAUGAUGCUGGCACCUGGUCUGGAGUGAUUGGAGGGCAUGGGCCAGAUCAGCUCAAUAACAACAGUAGGAGGCUGCUAGAUUUUUGUGCAGCCCAUGGAAUUGUAAUUACCAACACGCUGUUCCGGCAUCGGCGCAUCCACACAACAUCAUGGAUGCAUGCCGGGUCCAAGCAAGAACAUCUGCUGGACUACAUAGUGACGGACCAGUGGAUGCGAGCCCAUGUCCUUGACACCCAGACCUACCGUGGAGCUGAUCUGCCCUCUGACCAUUGACUAGUCAUCUGUAAGAUGUGCCUGCCAUUCUUCCACUCCGGUGGUGGGUGUACACCCAAGAAAUCAUUCCAACCUAAAGUGGCCUGGUCUCAGCUGAUGAAAGUUGCAAGCGAGAAUUUCAUCAUCGCUUGCAGCUGGGGUUGGCAUCGUCUCCCACUCCUCCUGAUGUCGAGGGUAAAUGGGCGAGGUUUAGGACUGUGACUCAUGCAGCUGCAAUGGCUGAGAACCUGGCUGACAGAGGAGGUGUUCAGGAUCUUAAUUCUAGAUUUAAAGGUUUCGUGACUUCAAGGAUUCAUACUCUUUGGUGGGUGUAUGUGUUCAGGAUAGUUGAGAAAAAGCAACAGGCCCACUCUUAUCGGCUACAGCAUCCCACGUCAGAGAAUGAGGAGGCUUACCUCAGCCUUCGCUCUGAGGUUCGGAGAGCCGUGAGGCGCUGCAAGGAUGGGUGGUGGUCGCGGAUUGCUGAGGAGAUGCAGUUUGCCUCAGUGGCCCACGAUCACAAAUCACUAUUUAACUCCAUCAAAAAAGUAACCUGCAGCGCCACACCUAUUACCAUCAUUAAGGGAAAAAACAGUGAUCCAAUCUCCGACCCCCAGGAACAGAUUUGCAGAUUUGCUGAGCAUUUCUGUGAGGUUCUGGGGGAGGGGAAAUCCCUCAGCCAGGAAAACAUCGUGGCACAAAGUGGGGAUGACCAUGCUGAGGCUGCGGUGCCUCAAAUAUUGGAAGAAGUCACCACCUGUGAGUGGCUGGCUGAGGUGCCAUCUGUUGAGGAAGUACUGAAGGUGAUCCAGAGUCUGAGACCAGGAAAGGCACCGGGCAGAGAUGAUUUCCCAAGCGAAAUGCUGAGGGAGGGUGGCGUUUGUGCACAGACUGCCCUACAUGACAUCAUAACCACAGUCUGGACUACUGGACGGGUACCGCAGAAUUGGAAGGAUGCCCUGGUGGUCCCCCUCUUUAAGAAGGGGGGACCGCACAUACUGUAACAACUACAGGGGCAUCUCACUCCUCAGUGUGCCGGGAAAGGUCCUGGCAAGGAUUAUUCAACAUCGCCUUGCUAGGCACGCUGAGGAGAGGCUUGCGGAGCCCCAAUGUGGUUUCAGGAAAGGGCGUGUUGUAUAUAUAGGCCUUUUUUUCCUAAAAUUAAGAUUAAGAAUAAUUCUGCCAAUAUAUUUUUAAAUAAUCAACUGCGGGGUCGCUUGGAGCACAAACAAAAUGUAACCACCACCCACACCCCACCAACAGCUGCCUUUCAGAAACACAGUGCCGGAGAUAUAGGUAAUAAAAAAAACCCUUGGUACAAAGGAAGGAGAGGGGGAAGCUCUCUAAUGAGAUUCUGGGGAGAUCUCAUCACAACUUCAAAGACCCGCCACCAAACAGGGCGGCGAAUUUUUGUAGGCUAUUUUAGUUAACGAAAAAAAUCCGACAAUUAGCGACCAGAAUAAGAAUAUAACAUAGACUGUCAACGUACUCAACCAGAUUAAAAACCAGACUGCAGCCACAUUGGUGGCCUUAGAGUUACUAAUUACCUGAUUUUACUCUGAUUCACCUCACAUAUGGUUUCUUGUUAGAUCUUGCUAUCUACGUGACCUUACCUAAAACCACGGAAUACAAAUGUCAACAGUCAAGGAAGCUUAAGUGAAAUCUUAGUUACAUCUAACCUCAGGACAUCAAAAAAAUUUACUCGAGUAAAACAGCACAAUCCCUGGAUACAGAUAGAGAACAAAGGUUAAUAAAACCCUAUGAAUAUACGUGGUAAUAACUGCUAAAUCACAAAUCUUGAAUUAACACAAACCAAAUAAUAAUUUUGAAGUAUUAGACCAAGGGUCAUCCAGAAGAAUAAAAGGUGAAAUAAGUCAAUCAUACCUAACCAAGAUGUAAUGUAUUCCAUAGGAAAAGAGCCUCCCAACUGCAUUUGUCUUCCCACAGGACGUGAUAGCAAAGAAUGUAACACCCAGAUGACGCCAAAAAGGCGCACUUGGUCCAACCCUAGGCUCUAAGGAAAGCUGUCUCGGGUGUGGACCAAUCAACUUCAAGGACAGUGCAUAUCAUUAUCAGAGUUAUGUCUUUUGUUUGCAUUAUGACUGCAGGUAUUGCGGUCUAUGCAAACAUGACUCCUUGUAAAAAGGUGUCAGUUUUGUUGCCAGAUAGAAGGGUAAACAACCAAUUAUCACAAUUACGAGUUUUGAGAGUGAAUGCCAGCAGACAUGCAGCUGCAGCUCCAGUUGAACUGAUGAGCGACGAGAGCAAUCGUGCAUCGCCAGAGAGCACGGAGCAGGAGAGAGAGCGCACAACCAGCGCCACCAAGCAAGAGUGUCGGCACCGGCAACCAGCGGACGAGCGACGAGAGCCAUCGUGCAUCGCCAGAGAGAACGAAGCAGUGGAAAGAGCCUGAUCUAGUGCAGCCCUGAAGUAAGGGCGGGUGUCCAUGUGAAGCUGGCACCUGCACGAUCAAAGAGAGAGCACGGAGCAGUGUAAAGAGCCAGACUAGCCGCCCGUGAGCAAGAGUGUCGGCGCCAGCGAGAGCGCCGUGGGUUCGACUCGCACACACCGACAAGCACCAGCUAAGGAGCAGCGAUCAGCAGACGAGCUGCGCGCGCUAUCUGACGACGGAAUGAUCGCGCACCGCCGACGGCGAGCGUCGUGCCGACUCGUCAUCCAGCAUCGGACAAGCAACAUUGUUCCAGCUGCCGCCGAGCGAGAGAGAGAGCAACACGUUGUUUGUAUGCCCCUCCCCCACCCUCACAAGCUCACGACGCAUCGCCCGGCGUCUGCUUAACACAAAUAAUUUAUCAAGGGGACAAUCCACACACACCAUUGCUCCAAGACAUUUCGUUAAUUGUAUAAUCUAGCCGAUGAAUCUAUUGAUGUAUACUUUUGCCUUCGGGAUAUAAUAAUUUGCUUUUUAUUGCCUUUCGUAUGAAUAUCGUUGCAUGUGUAGGAUUCUUACUGACGCGACAACUUCUUUGUCUUUCUCAUUCCUUUUAUUCCGCAUAUAGUUCACAUCUCCGACAGCAUCGCUCAAUGUUCCUCCAUACUCUUCAAUGCACCAUUUCCCAUCAACCCCACUCGACGUCCCUCCGUUCGCUCGUUCCGCUCUGCCGCUUCGCUCGCUCUCUCUCCACCAAGGUCCGUUACUCCGCUGUUUCGCUACGGUGUCCUCGCUCCGUCCUUGCUACUCUGUCCGUACUCUCUAUAUCCACUGCUACCUUAUACUGUAUUCUCUUUGUCCACUGCUACCUUAUACUAUACACUCUUAUCCACUGCUACCUUAUACUAUACUCUCUGUUGCUCCGUCUCUGUCCCAGGCACCGUCUCCAGCUCCGACUCCAACCCUCACAAAAUGACUCCCGUCUCUCCGCUACGCUCUCCCUUUAUCCCCGAACCAAUUAGUCCAAAUUAGUUGUCAUCCCCCGCUCCUCCCUUCGCCCCCAUGGCCCCCAGCCUCACGUGAUGUCACGUGAUGUUGUUUUCCGUAGACACUUACCCUCUUGACCAAUCACCGGCCUGCGUCCUCAGUUACCCUUAACACCUGUGGCGUCUCUUAAUGACCUCAUCCCUUAAUUGGCGCAACAACAACUGUAUGUCCUCAGUUGCCCCCACUGUCCGUUGCACGCUCGCAUCGCAACCAACCGCGUGGCGCGUGUCAUCUCAGGUCCUACACAUGCAUGUUUUAAGGACUUUCCCCUAUCGCCGUAUAUGCUCGCGUUACUCGGUGGAAUUAAUCAAUUGUUCGGUUGUCCAGUUUGACAACGUAACCAUUGAUGGUUAAAUGUACGGAUCAAUGAGGGGAAUUUCCCCAGUAGAACUGUGUUGAUAAUUCCAAGCACAAGAGUUCGCAUAUUAGAGUGUUAUGUUUUUGUUUAGAAAUUAAAAUUGCUUAACACAGUCUGAGUGGUUCCUUCCUGAGUUCAUGCAUAAUAAUCUCAAUUAUGAGAACUGUAUCCUGCGGUGAGAGUUGAAUUCGGAGACCUGAUAAGCACAUUAAGACUUAAUCCGUAAAUGUUAAAGCGAGAAUAAUUGUAUUAUCCCGAUUGAUAAUACAACCCUAGACAACGAAGCCGAGCUUAAUUUAGCAUAAUUACACCACACUUGGAUAACUUUAUACAACUCAUUGUAUUAUCCCGAUUGAUAAUGACCCUAGACAACGAAGCUAAGCCCAAUUAAAAUAACUGCAUACAUUAGUAUAAUCGCAUACAUUUGCAUAACUCAAUAGGACCACAUCCAUAUUUAGCAUAAUGUAUGCGCAUAAUUACAUAAAUGAGCUUAUUAUCGGAUACUUACACAUUCUACCAAUCUUCAAUUAAUUUUUUUAAAUUAUUUUUCUAAAACCGACAUAUACAACAUAAUGGGGUUGGCUCGUCCGGGAUCUCUCGCAGACAGUUUGUGCAUGAUUUAAGGAAUGAAUCACUGUUGUGUUAACCAGAGUAUUGUGAACUAACAUUGCCUUGUGAUUGUUAACGGGCGUAAAACAAACAAAAAACGCCCUCUGAGGUGAAAUUCCAGAGUAGCUCGAGUCAAACUGACUGCAUUCUGUGAUACAAUUGUUUUUUUAUAUGCACUCUGAAGUGGAAUACCAGAGUAGCUUAUGCCACACAUGAGAUGCUAGUGUAAUAAAAGGACUCAGACAC